UAAGGCGAUUAUGCUGAUGGUGCUCCACCCGUUCCCAUUCCGAACACGGAAGUGAAAUCCAUCAAGGCCGAUGAUACUAGCUUCGUGCUGGGAAAGUAGGUAGUCGCCUUAU
This 112-nucleotide ribosomal RNA is filed under the name Candidatus Spechtbacteria bacterium RIFCSPLOWO2_01_FULL_43_12. The record is from RNAcentral. Lineage: Bacteria; Candidatus Spechtiibacteriota.